This 478-nucleotide ribosomal RNA is filed under the name uncultured bacterium. RNAcentral describes it as "bacterial SSU rRNA". It matches the Rfam family "Bacterial small subunit ribosomal RNA", at positions 28 to 507 of the family's 1533-position model. The record is from RNAcentral.
GACGAACGCUGGCGGCGUGCUUAACACAUGCAAGUUGAACGGGAUCCACAUUAUGAAGUUCUAGGAUGGAAUAAUGUGGUGAGAGUAGCGGACGGGCGAGUAACGCGUGAGUAACCUGCCCUAUGCAGGGGGAUAACAUCGGGAAACCGGUGCUAAUACCGCAUAAGACCACGAUACCGCAUGGUAAAGUGGUAAAAGCUGAGGCGGCAUAGGAUGGACUCGCGUCCAAUUAGCUAGUUGGUAGGGUAAAGGCCUACCAAGGCGACGAUUGGUAGCCGAACUGAGAGGUUGGUCGGCCGCAUUGGGACUGAGACACGGCCCAGACUCCUACGGGAGGCAGCAGUGGGGAAUAUUGCGCAAUGGAGGAAACUCUGACGCAGCAACGCCGCGUGAAGGAAGAAGGCUUUCGGGUUGUAAACUUCUUUGAUCGGGGACGAAGAUGACGGUACCCGAGGAACAAGCCACGGCUAACUACGUG